AUGAGGAAUUCGAUGGCGGAGCAACUGCCAGUAUCGCGGUCGGUUUCGGUUUUACGAGGGGUGCGGAGGACGACGGUGGGAUACGGCAUCAGAGGUCUCGGUCCGGUGGAGGAUGUUGCGGGUGGAUCUGCAACACGAGCCUGGGCAUUUGCCCAAGCUGGCCGUAUGCUGUAUCCGCCUGUGCUCUUUCUUUCAUUGAUGGACUCUUCUUCAGUAGAGAUUCUCUUGAUACAAAGUUCAUUUUCAUCACCUCAUAUUCAUGGAUUACUUGUAAAUCCAAAAAAUAGCAUGGAAGACGCAAACUCAUGA
Vicia faba (fava bean) is the source of this 309-nucleotide non-coding RNA. Lineage: Eukaryota; Viridiplantae; Streptophyta; Magnoliopsida; Fabales; Fabaceae. The record is from the annotation of a GenBank genome assembly.